This 253-nucleotide ribosomal RNA is filed under the name uncultured bacterium. Its description in RNAcentral is "partial 16S ribosomal RNA". It matches the Rfam family "Bacterial small subunit ribosomal RNA", at positions 524 to 776 of the family's 1533-position model. The record is from RNAcentral.
UACGUAGGGGGCAAGCGUUGUCCGGAUUCAUUGGGCGUAAAGAGCGUGUAGGCGGUUAGGUAGGUCCGUUGUGAAAACUCGAGGCUCAACCUCGAGACGCCGAUGGAAACCAUCUGACUAGAGUCCGGAAGAGGAGAGUGGAAUUCCUGGUGUAGCGGUGAAAUGCGCAGAUAUCAGGAAGAACACCCGUGGCUAAGGCGGCUCUCUAGUACGGUACUGACGCUGAGACGCGAAAGCGUGGGGAGCGAACAGG